AGAGUUUGAUCCUGGCUCAGGAUGAACGCUAGCUACAGGCUUAACACAUGCAAGUCGAGGGGAAACGACAUCGAAAGCUUGCUUUUGAUGGGCGUCGACCGGCGCACGGGUGAGUAACGCGUAUCCAACCUGCCCACCACUUGGGGAUAACCUUGCGAAAGUAAGACUAAUACCCAAUGACGUCUCUAGAAGACAUCUGAAGGAGAUUAAAGAUUUAUCGGUGAUGGAUGGGGAUGCGUCUGAUUAGCUUGUUGGCGGGGUAACGGCCCACCAAGGCGACGAUCAGUAGGGGUUCUGAGAGGAAGGUCCCCCACAUUGGAACUGAGACACGGUCCAAACUCCUACGGGAGGCAGCAGUGAGGAAUAUUGGUCAAUGGGCGAGAGCCUGAACCAGCCAAGUAGCGUGCAGGAUGACGGCCCUAUGGGCUGUAAACUGCUUUUAUAAGGGAAUAAAGUGAGUCUCGUGAGACUUUUUGCAUGUACCUUAUGAAUAAGGACCGGCUAAUUCCGUGCCAGCAGCCGCGGUAAUACGGAAGGUCCGGGCGUUAUCCGGAUUUAUUGGGUUUAAAGGGAGCGUAGGCCGGAGAUUAAGCGUGUUGUGAAAUGUAGACGCUCAACGUCUGCACUGCAGCGCGAACUGGUUUCCUUGAGUACGCACAAAGUGGGCGGAAUUCGUGGUGUAGCGGUGAAAUGCUUAGAUAUCACGAAGAACUCCGAUUGCGAAGGCAGCUCACUGGAGCGCAACUGACGCUGAAGCUCGAAAGUGCGGGUAUCGAACAGGAUUAGAUACCCUGGUAGUCCGCACGGUAAACGAUGGAUGCCCGCUGUUGGUCUGAAUAGGUCAGCGGCCAAGCGAAAGCAUUAAGCAUCCCACCUGGGGAGUACGCCGGCAACGGUGAAACUCGAGUUCAUUGACGG
RNAcentral lists this ribosomal RNA (918 nucleotides) under uncultured bacterium. RNAcentral's name for it is "bacterial SSU rRNA". It matches the Rfam family "Bacterial small subunit ribosomal RNA", at positions 8 to 916 of the family's 1533-position model. The record is from RNAcentral.